This 497-nucleotide ribosomal RNA is filed under the name uncultured bacterium. Its description in RNAcentral is "partial 16S ribosomal RNA". It matches the Rfam family "Bacterial small subunit ribosomal RNA", at positions 28 to 507 of the family's 1533-position model. The record is from RNAcentral.
GAUGAACGCUGGCGGCGUGCCUAAUACAUGCAAGUCGAGCGAACAGACGAGGAGCUUGCUCCUCUGACGUUAGCGGCGGACGGGUGAGUAACACGUGGAUAACCUACCUAUAAGACUGGGAUAACUUCGGGAAACCGGAGCUAAUACCGGAUAAUAUAUUGAACCGCAUGGUUCAAUAGUUAAAGACGGUUUUGCUGUCACUUAUAGAUGGAUCCGCGCCGCAUUAGCUAGUUGGUAAGGUAACGGCUUACCAAGGCAACGAUGCGUAGCCGACCUGAAAGGGUGAUCGGCCACACUGGAACUGAGACACGGUCCAGACUCCUACGGGAGGAAGCAGUAGGGAAUCUUCCGCGAUGGGCGAAAGCCUGACGGAGCAACGCCGCGUGAGUGAUGAAGGUCUUCGGAUCGUAAAACUCUGUUAUUAGGGAAGAACAAAUGUGUAAGUAACUAUGCACGUAUUGACGGUACCUAAUCAGAAAGCCACGGCUAACUACGUG